AUGGUGCUUCUCCGCUAUGGUUUCACCUUCCUCAUCAAGCACCCUCCUCCACCCAAUGCCACCACCUAGUAUCUUGAACUGGAUGCCCAUGUCGCCCUAUGGAUCUAUGCCACCCUUUCUGACACCAUGUGCGAUCACGUCAUCGGCGCCACCACUGCCUUUGCCAUCUGGCACAAGAUCAAGGACUUCUUCCUCGCCAGUCGCAUCGCCCGCUUCAUGAUGCUCAACCGCCAAUACCGCCACCUCAAGCAGGGUGACCUCUCGGUCUCUGAGUACGCACGUCGCAUGAAGCUCCUUACCGACGGCCUCGCCGACAUCGACCAUGCCGUCACCGAGGUGGAUCUUACCACACAGUUCCUUCAUGGCCUGGCCAAGCGUCUCGACACCAUUCACGUGGUUCUCGGCGACCAGGCUCUCCGCUUCAACACCGUUCUUUCCCGAGUCGUCUUGGCCGAGGAGUCCCAGGCGCACCGCGUGGCCAAGGAGAGCGCCUCCGCGUUCGCCAUGAAGGGCGAUGGUUCUUCGGGCGGCAGCUCCAACACGGGCGGUCGCGCCCCGAGUGCUCGCUCCUCCGGCCACUCCAACGACCGCACCCAAGGCACCUCCCAUCUCCCGCACCAGGGUGUGGCGACUGUGCCAGCGGUGGCAGUGACCGUGCCCGUGGCGCUCUCCUUGGAUGUAUUCAUCAUAUAA
RNAcentral lists this ribosomal RNA (693 nucleotides) under Triticum aestivum (bread wheat). RNAcentral's name for it is "partial small subunit ribosomal RNA". The record is from RNAcentral. Lineage: Eukaryota; Viridiplantae; Streptophyta; Magnoliopsida; Poales; Poaceae.